AUUUUGACACUUAUGACAUUUUUACUUUCGUCGACCGCACUAUGAAAACACAUUUGACAUAAAAUACAUCGUUUCUUCGUUCGGAUUUUAGCGUCAAUCUUACGAAAGCUCUAAGCCUUUCGUUUGAUUUUCGUUUGGUACUUCAGAGGUUUUAAAAUUGCUCAAUAACUCCUGUGUGCAGAAUUGUUGCAAUAGGAAAGUGCUGGGCGAAGUUGGAAGCGUCUCUAACUGCGUAAAACCUUCGGAACAUGGAAUUUGUAAGAACUUAUAGGACUUUGCCACCCCUUUUUGAAACCAUCUGCGAGGAUAUAGUUCCACUAAUUCCUCCAAAGAACAUAUACGGGAAAUUGAUACUACCACUAAGGAGUUGUUAGGGAGCUGUGGAACUAAGUAUAGAUGGGUCGAUGGCCCAGCAAACAGUCUCUGAGUGCCUCAGGCAAGUGUCUGAGUCAGCCUCAUAUAUUGACUAAAUUUAUAAAAUUUCCACAAAACCGACAAGAAAGGACUCUUAUUAAAGAACAAAUCAAAUAAUUAAACAACUACUAACUCGCUAAAGCUGCCAUAACCA
Long non-coding RNA from Manduca sexta (tobacco hornworm), 568 nucleotides. RefSeq lists it as uncharacterized. NCBI's taxonomy places the organism in Eukaryota, Metazoa, Arthropoda, Insecta, Lepidoptera, Sphingidae. The record is from RefSeq and is a predicted model, not a curated record. The transcript is spliced from 3 exons.